RNAcentral lists this ribosomal RNA (497 nucleotides) under uncultured bacterium. RNAcentral describes it as "partial 16S ribosomal RNA". It matches the Rfam family "Bacterial small subunit ribosomal RNA", at positions 28 to 507 of the family's 1533-position model. The record is from RNAcentral.
GAUGAACGCUGGCGGCGUGCCUAAUACAUGCAAGUAGAACGCUGAAGGAAGGAGCUUGCUCUUUCCGGAUGAGUUGCGAACGGGUGAGUAACGCGUAGGUAACCUGCCUGGUAGCGGGGGAUAACUAUUGGAAACGAUAGCUAAUACCGCAUAACAGUAGAUGUUGCAUGAUAUCUACUUAAAAGGCGCAAUUGCACCACUACCAGAUGGACCUGCGUUGUAUUAGCUAGUUGGUGAGGUAACGGCUCACCAAGGCGACGAUACAUAGCCGACCUGAGAGGGUGAUCGGCCACACUGGGACUGAGACACGGCCCAGACUCCUACGGGAGGCAGCAGUAGGGAAUCUUCGGCAAUGGACGGAAGUCUGACCGAGCAACGCCGCGUGAGUGAAGAAGGGUUUCGGAUCGUAAAGCUCUGUUGUAAGAGAAGAACGAGUGUGAGAGUGGAAAGUUCACACUGUGACGGUAUCUUACCAGAAAGGGACGGCUAACUACGUG